AAGGGUUAUAGAACAACGGCGAUAGCGGAAUUGUAAAUCUAAAACAUAGAAGGCGAUAAACUAAAGAGGCAGCGAUUACAGAUUUUAUUUAAUCAGCUUUUUCCCUUCAUGAAAAUAGGAAAAAAUGUUAGAGGCACAUUUUACCAUUUACAACUAAUUUACAGUAAUCUGAAAACCUUCGAUUUCAAAAUUACAUAAUUUUAACACAGCAUCUGCCACACAGACAAUAAAAAAAGCAAUUAGUGGUGAAUUCUGGACUAUUUAUUUACUUACGCCCCCAAAAUGUGGUCGCUCAUGAAUGCAGGAAACAGUGCAACGGCAAUUUGUGGGCGAGUUCAAGCAGUCAUACUUCAUAUUCAUUCUAAAUUUAUUUUGAUAUUUGUAAAAUCCCUGACAUGUAUAGCCAAGACCUGAGCUUUGAGCUAACCAAUUCACAUUAUCAAAUUUGCAACACAAAGGGGAAAAUAAGUGUUUACUGAAGCUGAGGCUCUAAAGAGAAACAGAACCAGACUCACAAUCACAUAUACACUGAUUAGGUUUUGAUUAGGUUUGAAUGUAUGAAUAAUAAGUAACCUGUACUCAUUCUAUAGUAUGGCAUAACACCUGGCUGCACCAGCAGCACCCACAGAAGCCUCAGCUAUUUUGGUAAUCACUUCCUCUGUGGCUUAAGGAGUAAAGGGAGUGAGAAGUCAAAUAUGCAGCAGUUGUAACACACUCAACUCUUAGAGCAGAGCACUCAAAAGUAUCUCUGGCAUCUUCCCACAAUGUAAGCACAAGCAAACUGUCUCUCUUUUUUUUUUUUUUUUGAAGUUUUCAUGUAGGACUCAAGACUGCACAGUUCCAGCAGUCUGAAGGUUUGAUUCUGCACAGCUCAUUUGGGCACGGUUCAGCUUUUCUGUUAUAUAUUACUGUGAUUAAUGCUAGCUUUUAUUUAUUUUGCUGUCCAGCACUUUGUGGCUGCAUGUCUGUAAAAGCAGAUUUAUAAAUAAGCUUUACACACUUACUUUCUCUCUGGAGCACCACACAUUCUAGUUAAAAGCUAUUUGCUGUUCUUCAGCUAGAGUGGUGCUCAGCUGUCAAAUCCAUAAGUAGAUAUACAGAUUAAUACAUUUGUGUAAUGUAAAAAUAGCGUGAGAAAAAUAAUAAUAACCUUCAUUAUACUCCGGGGUAAAUUUUAGUCUUUAUAUAAAAGUCUCAUCAUCUCAGUCCAUACUGAUGUGUCAAGAUAGGCGGCAUUCCCUCUAUUCCAUGUGCCACUGAGAUAAGAUGUAUUAUAUUUAAACUAUAAU
Long non-coding RNA from Astatotilapia calliptera (eastern happy), 1289 nucleotides. The record is from Ensembl. NCBI's taxonomy places the organism in Eukaryota, Metazoa, Chordata, Actinopteri, Cichliformes, Cichlidae.